GGGGACGGUGGGAGCAGAUCCAUUUCCGGGUUGGCAAAAGGGGCGGCGGCGGCGGCGGCGACGGCGAGAAAGAGAGCUUGCCGGGGGGCUAGCAGGACAGGAGGAAGCCGGAGUGUAGGCGGCAGAGGAUUCGCUCCCAGAGCAGCUGCGGCCAGGCAAACACAGAGCAGCCCAAGCUGAAUAGAGAUGAGCAGCGGGGUCGAGGUGCCCUCUUACAGGACAUUUGCAAAGGGACCAAGCUGAAGAAGGUGACCAACAUUAAUGAUCGGAGUGCUCCCAUCCUCGAGAAGCCCAAAGGAAGCAGUGGUGGCUAUGGCUCUGGAGGAGCUGCCCUGCAGCCCAAGGGAGGUCUCUUCCAAGGAGGAGUGCCGAAGCUUCGACCUGUGGGAGCCAAGGAUGGUUCAGAGAACCUAGCUGGUAAGCCAGCCCUGCAAGUCCCCAGUUCUCGAGCUGCUGCCCCAAGGCCUCCAGUAUCUGCCGCCAGCGGGCGUCCUCAGGAUGAUACAGACAGCAGCCGGGCCUCACUCCCAGAACUGCCCCGGAUGCAGAGACCCUCUUUACCGGACCUUUCUCGGCCUAAUACCACCAGCAGUACGGGCAUGAAGCACAGCUCCUCUGCCCCUCCCCCGCCACCCCCAGGGCGGCGUGCCAAUGCACCCCCCACACCUCUGCCUAUACACAGCAACAAAGCCCCUGCCUACAACAGAGAGAAACCCUUGCCACCGACGCCUGGACAAAGGCUUCUCCCUGGUCGAGAGGGACCUCCUGCUCCACCCCCAGUUAAACCACCUCCUUCCCCUGUGAAUAUCAGAACAGGACCAAGUGGCCAGUCUCUGGCUCCUCCUCCUCCGCCUUACCGCCAGCCUCCUGGAGUCCCCAAUGGACCCUCUAGCCCCACUAAUGAGUCAGCCCCUGAGCUGCCACAGAGACACAAUUCUUUGCAUAGGAAGACACCAGGGCCUGUCAGAGGCCUAGCACCUCCUCCACCCACGUCAGCCUCCCCCUCUUUACUGAGUAAUAGGCCACCUCCCCCAGCCCGAGACCCUCCCAGUCGGGGAGCAGCUCCUCCACCCCCACCACCUGUGAUCCGAAAUGGUGCCAGGGAUGCUCCCCCUCCCCCACCACCGUACCGAAUGCAUGGGUCAGAACCCCCGAGCCGAGGAAAGCCCCCACCUCCCCCCUCAAGGACGCCAGCUGGGCCACCCCCUCCUCCGCCGCCGCCCCUGAGGAAUGGCCACAGAGAUUCUAUCACCACUGUCCGGUCUUUCUUGGAUGAUUUUGAGUCCAAGUAUUCCUUCCAUCCAGUAGAAGACUUUCCUGCUCCAGAAGAAUAUAAACACUUUCAGAGGAUAUAUCCCAGCAAAACAAACCGAGCUGCCCGUGGAGCCCCACCUCUGCCACCCAUUCUCAGGUGAAGCCUGGCUUGGUCCUGUUCCUCAGGAAAAGGAUGGUCCUUCUCUUCUUCUCAGAUGGUCCCUUCCAUUCCCCUGAAACCUGCAUGAGAGCUCCUAACAUGUUUCUCCAAUGCAAUCAACCCUUAGACUCCAAGUGUCCUCCCAGCUCACCUCCAUCUAUGCAUCUCAUCUCUGGAUUUGGUGAUCAGACUCUAUAUUGACAGUAGGAUCUCAAACCCUGCAUCCAUCCUUCCUCCAGCAAGCCCUGCUAGCCACAUGAGGAACAAGUUUCCGUGUCUUCUGCUUUCCUCUUGGGGAAAGGUGCCUUGUUGUGAUGAAUUAACUCACUGUUAGGGCAGGGUGGAGAAUGGUACUCCUUCCUUCUCCUGUCCACUGUGGGGGAAGCUUGGCAGGUAUAUUUCAUCAUUUAGGAGGCUGGCAUGACCAGGACUUAUGGGUGGGAGGGGAGCAUUUUUAGUGAAGCAAGAAAGGAGUUUGCCAAGAAGUGAUCUGUUUUAAAGGUCAUAUUUGGAGAAAGGGCAAGGAAUUGGGUCUGCUUUAUUUUUAGGGGUAUUUUGUUUUUGUUCUCACCCAGGGAUAAAUUGGAUAUAAACACUAAAUACUAAUCAGUUGAACUUAACAUUUAAUAAAAAGAAAGGGUGAAAUAAACUGAA
This 2068-nucleotide small RNA is filed under the name Pongo abelii (Sumatran orangutan). Its description in RNAcentral is "processed transcript". Lineage: Eukaryota; Metazoa; Chordata; Mammalia; Primates; Hominidae. The record is from RNAcentral.